This 510-nucleotide ribosomal RNA is filed under the name uncultured bacterium. RNAcentral describes it as "partial 16S ribosomal RNA". It matches the Rfam family "Bacterial small subunit ribosomal RNA", at positions 28 to 507 of the family's 1533-position model. The record is from RNAcentral.
GACGAACGCUGGCGGCGUGCUUAACACAUGCAAGUCGAACGUAGAGCGAUGGAAGCUUGCUUCUAUCAAUCUUAGUGGCGAACGGGUGAGUAACGCGUAAUCAACCUGCCCUUCAGAGGGGGACAACAGUUGGAAACGACUGCUAAUACCGCAUACGAUCUAAUCUCGGCAUCGAGGAUAGAUGAAAGGUGGCCUCUACAUGUAAGCUAUCACUGAAGGAGGGGAUUGCGUCUGAUUAGCUAGUUGGAGGGGUAACGGCCCACCAAGGCGAUGAUCAGUAGCCGGUCUGAGAGGAUGAACGGCCACAUUGGGACUGAGACACGGCCCAGACUCCUACGGGAGGCAGCAGUGGGGAAUCUUCCGCAAUGGACGAAAGUCUGACGGAGCAACGCCGCGUGAGUGAUGACGGCCUUCGGGUUGUAAAGCUCUGUUAAUCGGGACGAAAGGCCUUCUUGCGAAUAGUGAGAAGGAUUGACGGUACCGGAAUAGAAAGCCACGGCUAACUACGUG